GAAGAAAGGAGAGAGGGGUGGGGGUUGGCUGGAGUCCAUGUUAGCAGCAGGGGAGUGGAGCAGUCAGUAGGGGAGGAUCACCGAGUGGCACGUGGAGAGGCAGUAUUUCAUCGAGCUGGAAGAGAUACAGAGCUGCGGAGGAGGAGAGAGAAAAGAGAGAAGGUGGAGGCAAAAGACAAGCCUCCUUCUCCUUAGUAAGACAAGUGAGCAGUGCACCUCGAGCACGCCAAAAUCAGCACAACCCUUGACUGACACACACUCGUGCGUGCACACCCACACCCAACACGUUUAAGGUUGUGGAAUGCGCCUGCUGUGGCUGAGACUGACAGGGCAAGCAGCCAGCAUUGAGUCACAGCACUGCGCUUUCUUCUAUUCUAACGCCGGCUGCACCCUGGAAACACACACAGAAAGCUUUGCAUAUUCACAACACCUCUGAAUGCUACGGACAUAACACAGAUACCUCCACACCCAAGGAUUAAUGAGUGAUGCACCAGUGACUGCAUGCAAACUGGAACCGGGGCUAUCAUCUCUGAGCUGGAUGAUGGAUGCUACUUGUCCUGGAUGGUAGAAACUGAGGGACAUUUCAACAGGAUUGUGUAUACAGUGUGUGAGUGUCAGGAUGGCGGUACGGUUCUGGACCCUUGUACUUUGUGUGGCACUGUGGAAAGAGUCUUCUGCACAUGGAGCAAAGAACAACUAUCCGAGAUUACGGCUGUCCCAUAAAGAAGUAAUUGCUGAGAGGAAGAGAGGCUUGGCUGGUUAAUUUCCUCUGGAUGGGGAGUCAUGACAGACCUAAUUUGGCACAGACAGAAAGUACAAAUAACACCAGUUACUGGGAACAAUACCAGCCAAACACAAGGCAAUGAAGGGUCUGCUGGUGUUCUGAGGUGCCCCAGAGGUAUCAUCUCUACAGGGCCAUCUGGACUACAGAGCAGAGAGAUCCUUCUGCUAUUCGGCCCACAGGAAAUAAACUCCUCUGGGUUUCUGAUCAGAGCAAAGAGCCUUCACCUACCAAACCCUGCAGAGACAUCGACUCAGAGACUUGUUUAUCAUGCUGUUCCUUUUAAUUACAGGGAAAAUAUUUCAGGUGUGUGUCUGUGCACCAAAUGUUUGUUGAGUGUCCUUCCCUUUCCUGGAGUGAAUGCAUAAACAUUAAUAAGGUAACGCCAGAGGUCAACACUGAAAAUUCAGAUCACACAGUUUGUCAACAACAAAACCAAUAUCAGCUCACAGUAACCAGGGUUCAGUGUAUGUGUGUGUGUUUUAAUCAUAUGCAGGGUGAUUAUCUGUUAGGAUACAUGAUUAUACUACUGGUUAAGCAAUAUUUAUUAUUAAAUAAGGAAGAAUACAUGAGGAGAUGUGCUGUUAUAGAAAAAUAAUUAAUGCUGGGGUGAUGUAACGAAGGGCUCUUACCACUCCAGAUUUGAUUAUCUUUGCUAUAACAGCACAGCUAUAACAGGUGUUUUAUUCCUCUUAUACCACAUCAACGUAAAUUCUUUUUAAAUUAAAGAAUUAAAUCAUACAAUUUAUCCGUGCUUAGUUAGACAGUCAUCCUUUCACCAGCCUCUCUAUUUUCUCUCUCUUGAAGUUAAUAACACAAGACUUCCAAUAGUAACAGCUUUACCUCUGACAAAGAGUUGAGAGUCCUUCCAUAAAUGUUAAAUAAAUCUAUUUUUUCAGAAAAAUUCAGCAUAUCAACAAUUACACAUUUUUCUUUGUUAGCAUGUUUUGAGCCAUCUAAUUUUAGACUUAGAUUAUGUGGAGAGUCUGCCAUAGUAGUCCUUGAGAAUUAACUGUAAUUAUAGUGUAUUAGGACAAGUGCAACUAGAACUACUGUUAGAGCUGUUGUUGAAAUGUGAUCCAUCCAUCCAUCCAUUUUCCUUACCACUUAUCCUACACAGGGUCACAGGGGAACCUGGAGCCUAACCCAGGGAACUUGGGGCACUAGGUGGGGAACACCCUGGACAGGCUGUCAAACCAUUGCAGGGCACAAUCACACACACUAUGACACACACAUUCACACAUUAUGGACAAUUUGGAAAUGCCAAUCAGUCUACAACGCAUGUCUUUGGAUUGGGGGAGGAAACCAGACUACCUGGAGGAAACCCUCAAAGCACGGUGAGAACAUGCACACAGGGUGGAAUUCGAACCCACAACCCUGGAGGUGCAAGGCAAACGUGCUAACCGCUAAGCCC
This is a long non-coding RNA of Ictalurus punctatus (channel catfish), 2195 nucleotides long. The record is from Ensembl. Lineage: Eukaryota; Metazoa; Chordata; Actinopteri; Siluriformes; Ictaluridae.